GUCGAACGGGAUUUUUUGUGUAGUAAUACAUAAAAAGUCUAGUGGCGAACGGGUGCGUAACACGUGAGCAAUCUGCCGGGAAGUGGGGGAUAGCUCGCCGAAAGGCGAAUUAAUACCGCAUGUGGCCAGAGGGGACAUCCCUUCGACGCCAAAGUCGCAAGACGCUUCCUGAUGAGCUCGCGGCCUAUCAGCUUGUUGGUGAGGUAAUGGCUCACCAAGGCUUUGACGGGUAGCUGGUCUGAGAGGACGACCAGCCACACUGGAACUGAGACACGGUCCAGACACCUACGGGUGGCAGCAGUCGAGAAUUUUUCACAAUGGGGGCAACCCUGAUGGAGCGACGCCGCGUGGAGGAUGAAGGUCUUCGGAUUGUAAACUCCUGUCAUGCGAGAACAAGAAAGUGAUAGUAUCGCAAGAGGAAGAGACGGCUAACUCUGUGCCAGCAGCCGCGGUAAUACAGAGGUCUCAAGCGUUGUUCGGAUUCAUUGGGCGUAAAGGGUGCGUAGGUGGCGUGGAAAGUUGAGUGUGAAAUCCUAGGGCUUAACCUUAGAACUGCACUCAAUACUCCCAUGCUAGAGGAAUGGAGAGGAGAGUGGAAUUCACGGUGUAGCAGUGAAAUGCGUAGAUAUCGUGAGGAAGACCAGUUGCGAAGGCGACUCUCUGGGCAUUUCCUGACACUGAGGCACGAAGGCCAGGGGAGCAAACGGGAUUAGAUACCCCGGUAGUCCUGGCAGUAAACGGUGCACAUUUGGUGUGGGCGGGUUCAGACCCCGUCCGUGCCGGAGCUAACGCGUUAAAUGUGCCGCCUGGGAAGUACGGUCGCAAGAUUAAAACUCAAAGAAAUUGACGGGGGNCCGCACNAGCNGNUGGAGUAUGUGGCUUNAUUCGAUGCAACG
This 896-nucleotide ribosomal RNA is filed under the name uncultured bacterium. RNAcentral describes it as "bacterial SSU rRNA". It matches the Rfam family "Bacterial small subunit ribosomal RNA", at positions 61 to 961 of the family's 1533-position model. The record is from RNAcentral.